This 446-nucleotide ribosomal RNA is filed under the name uncultured bacterium. RNAcentral describes it as "partial 16S ribosomal RNA". It matches the Rfam family "Bacterial small subunit ribosomal RNA", at positions 338 to 795 of the family's 1533-position model. The record is from RNAcentral.
CCUACGGGAGGCAGCAGUCGAGAAUCAUUCACAAUGGGGGAAACCCUGAUGGAGCGACGUCGCGUGGGGGAAUGAAGGUCUUCGGAUUGUAAACCCCUGUCAUGUGGGAGCAAAUUAAAAAGAUAGUACCACAAGAGGAAGAGACGACUAACUCUGUGCCAGCAGCCGCGGUAAUACAGAGGUCUCAAGCGUUGUUCGGAAUCACUGGGCGUAAAGCGUGCGGAGGAUGUUUCGUAAGUCGUGUGUGAAAGGCGGGGGCUCAACCCGCGGACGGCACAUGAUACUGCGAGACUAGAGUUAUGGAGAGGGAGCCGGAAUUCUCGGUGUAGCAGUGAAAUGCGUAGAUAUCGAGAGGAACACUCGUGGCGAAGGCGGGUUCCUGGACAUUAACUGACGCUGAGGCACGAAGGCCAGGGGAGCGAACGGGAUUAGAUACCCCUGUAGUC